Long non-coding RNA from Neltuma alba, 579 nucleotides. RefSeq lists it as uncharacterized. Lineage: Eukaryota; Viridiplantae; Streptophyta; Magnoliopsida; Fabales; Fabaceae. The record is from RefSeq and is a predicted model, not a curated record. The transcript is spliced from 2 exons.
CCGCAUCUGCAAGUGAAUCAGGAUCCAGUAUGAAGGAGAUGAAGCAGAGCGGAGAAGAGCUCAAAGAAGGAGCAGAAUACCCUGAAAGUUUUGCAAACUGGAUAAAAUGGGGAGAUGCUGUUUGUUUAAGUCAGAGUUUUAUUCUAAUCGUCACCUAAAUUCGUCAUCCGAAGGAUGUGGAUUUCUGUACAGAGGAAAUAAGGCGGUAAGGUAACAUCCGAAAGCAAACAGCUCUAGCACAAGCUAAGGCUGAGGCUGCUUUUGAUCAGCAUUCAUACAGCAGUUUCAAAGUCAUAGUUUUGACCCAUUCUAGCAAGCAUCACAUAGAGGAGGUAAAAAAUUAUAUCUGAUUGGCGGUAGGCGAUUACUUCGUCUCUCACUCUCUCUUCAUAAAUAAGGCAAUAUCUCCAACCCCUGUGUAUAGUUUUCGUGACCCAAAAACCAAAAAAAAAAAAAAUCACUGAUGGAGCUGCUUAGAUUAACCGGUUAAGUCCUGUGUAUAUAAACAUGCUGACUGGUUCUCAGUUGGGCAUCUAGCAUUGUUAAUCAAUCCGAACUGCCAGGUUCAGUUCUCAUUUA